AAAAGGUCUUUCACUUCUGUUUUCUUGCCUCUUGAGUGUCUUGUUGCAGGACUAGGAAAGCAUCACCAUAAUAAUGCCUUGCUAUAGGGAAACUCUUCUCUAGUGAUUUAAGUUGUUCCUGGGCAUUUGUGGAAUCUAGAUAUCCUUACAUAAAUCAGGAUGUGAUCUUUGAGUAAAAUAAAUAAAUCUAUGGGGGAAAGGGGAGGUGGGGAAGUGGAAGGAAGUAGUGACUAAUAUGUUUAUAUUUUGGGGAUCAUUAUAAUAAGUGUAAUGUAAUUAUUCCAGUUUUACAGAUGGAGGAACUGAGGCUAAGAAAACUACAUGUCUUGUGAGGUGACAUAAGUGUUUAGUGACAGAAUUGCUCUUUCCUGCUCCUGCCAUUUCUGGUCGUUUUUCCCUGUUCUGUCGAAUCCCAAGUGCCCCUGAAUGCAGCCCAUUGGUUUUGGGAUGUGGAGAGCCAUAUGUGCAGCCCCACUUCUCUAAGGUAAGUUGCUGUACCAAGGUUAAAGCGUACAGCACCCAUGUGGCAAAGAGCUUCUGUAGCCACAGCUUUAGGUGGCACUUGAGUACAUUAGGAAGCAGGAAGGCCUGUGAGCUACAAAGGGCUCUGUCUGCGAGGAUGAUGCCGUGAUGUCUGGCAGCGUUCACCAGCCAUGCAGUGAGGUCACUUCUAAAAGUAUCGCGUUGCAGCGCCGAGCUUCCUGGCGUGAUGGCAGGCAGCUCUCGUGAACCUCGGCCGCUCCUCAGCAGCCAUGGUUAUUCUUAGAGACACUUCCCAUUCCUCAGGAAAAGCUACUGUGAGAGGCUUAGCUGGCUUUUAUCUUUAGAAGCGAGUAUUUAAAUGUUGGACUAAUUUGUAGCUCAUUCGCAGCUCAGCUGCAGCCCUGCCAGCUGCGCUGGGAUCAGUGACAAGUCUUUCUUCCGCCUCCAAAGCGCACUUGCAGACAGAUCCAGGGCCUAGGAGCACAUUGCCCCAGAGGCAACUCGGCUUUCUCACAAGCGUGUAGCUGCCUGGGGGAGUUUUCCAGAACAAGUAGCAUAUUAGGCUUUCC
This 1052-nucleotide long non-coding RNA is filed under the name Anas platyrhynchos platyrhynchos (common mallard). Its description in RNAcentral is "lncRNA (ENSAPLG00000025767.1)". Lineage: Eukaryota; Metazoa; Chordata; Aves; Anseriformes; Anatidae. The record is from RNAcentral.